RNAcentral lists this ribosomal RNA (437 nucleotides) under uncultured bacterium. Its description in RNAcentral is "partial 16S ribosomal RNA". It matches the Rfam family "Bacterial small subunit ribosomal RNA", at positions 29 to 507 of the family's 1533-position model. The record is from RNAcentral.
AGCGAACGCUGGCGGCAGGCUUAACACAUGCAAGUCGAGCGGGCAUCCUUGUGGUGUCAGCGGCAGACGGGUGAGUAACGCGUGGGAACGUGCCCUUCGGUUCGGAAUAACUCAGGGAAACUUUAGCUAAUACCGGAUACGUGCGAGAGCAGAAAGGUUUAUCUGCCGAAGGAUCGGCCCGCGUCUGAUUAGCUAGUUGGUGAGGUUAUGGCUCACCAAGGCGACGAUCAGUAGCUGGUUUGAGAGGAUGAUCAGCCACACUGGGACUGAGACACGGCCCAGACUCCUACGGGAGGCAGCAGUGGGGAAUAUUGGACAAUGGGGGCAACCCUGAUCCAGCCAUGCCGCGGGAGUGAUGACGGCCUUAGGGUUGUAAAGCUCUUUUCUCCGGGACGAUAAUGACGGUACCGGAGGAAUAAGCCCCGGCUAACCUCGUG